AUUAAAUGGAAGUGAAGACUAAUCAGGCUUAGCCAUCUUCAAUGCUCAGCUGAUAAAGAGAAAAGGCAGGAGGUGUUUGAGAAACAGAAAGUGUUAAAGUUGGAGUAGAAUAGUUGGGUGAGCUCUUAGGGUGAUUGGAACUUGGCUACACACGUAAAAUGAUUUUUCUGGAAAAGGGACGGUGCUGAGAAAAGCAAUUAAAUAGGGUUUUUAUUGUCAGGAAGUUUAUGAAUUUUAGUUUCCAGUGUUAUAUGAGCUGGCUGGACCACCUCUUCUGGAAGUUUUGAAUGCUGGUGCCCUUGAUGUGGAAUUCGCAGCGCCCUUCCCUGUCCAUCAGGAGCAGAGGCUUCGCCGGACCUGCAGGGGCUCUAGGGGCAGGUGCGAUUGUCACCAGGAGAUGGACGGGUCACUCCCAAUUGCAGCAGAGAUUAAUGCCGGAGUUAGCCGCUCCUAAAACAGGCUGAAAUAACAGUCCUCUGGAAGAGCUGGAAAAUACACAAAGCCUGCUUAAUUGAUUAGAGAAGAUAAACAUAAGUGAAAAUUUUGUGAUCAAGCAUCUGCUUACAGGUUUUGGUGAAUAAUUCCCCAUGUUUGGGGGACAGCAGAAGACAAGCCCUUUAGGCCUGCCCUAUGGAUAUCACCAUUUGCAUUAAUGGAAUAAUGGAGAGCUGCAGCAAAUUGCCUGAUGGUCUGGAAACAGAGUAGGAUGCUCUGCUUGCAAGAGUAUUACAGCUGUUUUCUCAUGGUACAGUUUACAGAAAGGAGCAGCAAACAGGAGGAGGUCGGGGACACCAGGACAUGUUACUGCCAUGUGUCAAGUUGGCUUAGCAAAGAAAUACCACAAGAUGGAAGAUAACGGAGAAAAUGGGAAGUUUUGAGCUUUUGGCUGAAGGAAGACGGACUUGCUGAUGGAUGGCUGGGCACUGAGAGGAGUUUUCAAUAAGCUGAUAUUUCACUCUGGUUUCCUCUGGACUGAGGUUACAUCCUGGCUAUAGAUUCCAUGGGGGAAGAGCAUGAGACUGGCAGCCAGAGGCCUUACAGGGGUGAAGGGGGAGUGUGGUGAGCACCAGUCUUCAUUGCUGUCUGUCUACAGAAAAACACUUGCUGAAAAGACAGCCUAAAUAUGCAUUUUGAAGUUCUACAGUUGUUAAAUUGUGAUUUAGGAGUUAUCUUGUUAACUGCAGAUUUGGUUUCAGAGAUCGACUCUCAGAGCUUUUGUUACAGGUCUCACUUUCAGCUGGUGGGUUAUAAACAGGCUGAAACUUCUGCUUUUCACGGGUGCUUUUCCAACACUAUCCUCUGACCUCCAUUUCAC
This is a long non-coding RNA of Passer montanus (Eurasian tree sparrow), 1315 nucleotides long. RefSeq lists it as uncharacterized. The record is from RefSeq and is a predicted model, not a curated record. The transcript has 6 exons. Lineage: Eukaryota; Metazoa; Chordata; Aves; Passeriformes; Passeridae.